UAGGGAAUAUUGGACAAUGGGGGCAACCCUGAUCCAGCCAUGCCGCGUGAGUGAAGAAGGCCCUCGGGUUGUAAAGCUCUUUUGUCCGGAAAGAAAAGCAUUCGGUGAAUACCCGGUUGUUCUGACGGUACCGGAAGAAUAAGCACCGGCUAACUUCGUGCCAGCAGCCGCGGUAAUACGAAGGGUGCAAGCGUUACUCGGAAUUACUGGGCGUAAAGCGUGCGUAGGUGGUUGUUUAAGUCUGAUGUGAAAGCCCUGGGCUCAACCUGGGAAUGGCAUUGGNAACUGGGCAGCUAGAGUGCGGUAGAGGGUAGUGGAAUUCCCGGUGUAGCAGUGAAAUGCGUAGAGAUCGGGAGGAACAUCUGUGGCGAAGGCGACUGCCUGGACCAGCACUGACACUGAGGCACGAAAGCGUGGGGAGCAAACA
This 427-nucleotide ribosomal RNA is filed under the name uncultured bacterium. Its description in RNAcentral is "bacterial SSU rRNA". It matches the Rfam family "Bacterial small subunit ribosomal RNA", at positions 355 to 774 of the family's 1533-position model. The record is from RNAcentral.